Molecule: ribosomal RNA, 254 nt
Filed under: uncultured bacterium
Lineage: Bacteria
Description: partial 16S ribosomal RNA
Rfam family: Bacterial small subunit ribosomal RNA
Source: RNAcentral
AACGUAGGACGCAAGCGUUAUCCGGAGUUACUGGGCGUAAAGGGCGGGCAGGCGGCCUCGGCAAGUGGGGUGUGAAAUCUCCCAGCUUAACUGGGAGAGGCCAUUCCAGACUGCCAGGCUGGAGGGCAGUAGAGGUAGGCGGAAUUCCGGGUGGAGUGGUGAAAUGCGUAGAGAUCCGGAGGAACACCAGAGGCGAAGGCGGCCUACUGGGCUGCACCUGACGCUGAACCGCGAAAGCCAGGGGAGCGAACGGG